This 497-nucleotide ribosomal RNA is filed under the name uncultured bacterium. RNAcentral's name for it is "partial 16S ribosomal RNA". It matches the Rfam family "Bacterial small subunit ribosomal RNA", at positions 28 to 507 of the family's 1533-position model. The record is from RNAcentral.
GAUGAACGCUGGCGGCGUGCCUAAUACAUGCAAGUCGAGCGAACAGACGAGGAGCUUGCUCCUUUGACGUUAGCGGCGGACGGGUGAGUAACACGUGGAUAACCAACCUAUAAGACUGGGAUAACUUCGGGAAACCGGAGCUAAUACCGGAUAAUACAUUGAACCGCAGGGAUCAAUAGUGAAAGACGGUUUUGCUGUCACUUAUAGAUGGAUCCGCGCCGCAUUAGCUAGUUGGUAAGGUAACGGCUUACCAAGGCAACGAUGCGUAGCCGACCUGAGAGGGUGAUCGGCGACACUAGAACUGAGACACGGUCCAGACUCCUACGGGUGGCAGCAGUGGGGAAUCUUGCGCAAUGGGCGAAAGCCUGACGGAGCAACGCCGCGUGAGUGAUGAAGGUCUUCGGAUCGUAAAACUCUGUUGUUGGGGAAGAACAAGUGUGUAGGAAAAUAUGCACGUCUUGACGGUACCUAAUCAAAAAGCCACGGCUAACUACGUG